UACGAAUGAAAGGAACAAAGUAUACUAACUGUUAAUUAAAAUUUAACAUAAAUCUUUGGCUGAGUGCAAAAACUUAGAAUAAAAAUAUAAACGAGAAGACCCUGGGAAUUUUAAUAUUUUUAUUGGGAUAAUAUAAAACCAUACUUAGCUAAGCAACAAAUAACAUUAAUAAAAAGAAAUUACCCCAGGGAUAACAGCACAAUAGUCAUUAAGAGACCUAAUCUCAGUGAUUGAUUAUGACCUCGAUGUUGAAUCAUUUGUACAUAUAGUUUGCAGAAGAAUUUUAUUCUCGUCUGUUCGACGAUAGACAUUACGUGAUUUGAGUUUUAAACCGAAAA
RNAcentral lists this ribosomal RNA (338 nucleotides) under Trichuris trichiura (human whipworm). RNAcentral describes it as "partial large subunit ribosomal RNA". The stretch from base 91 to 338 matches the Rfam family "Bacterial large subunit ribosomal RNA", at positions 2080 to 2627 of the family's 2925-position model. The record is from RNAcentral. Lineage: Eukaryota; Metazoa; Nematoda; Enoplea; Trichinellida; Trichuridae.